Molecule: transfer RNA, 62 nt
Filed under: Lamellidens marginalis
Lineage: Eukaryota; Metazoa; Mollusca; Bivalvia; Unionida; Unionidae
Description: tRNA-Phe
Source: RNAcentral
GGUCAAAUAGUUUACACAAAACAUAACACUGAAAAUGUUAAGAUGGCUCCUGCCUUUUACCA